AAGGAAUAUUGGUCAAUGGACGCAAGUCUGAACCAGCCAUGCCGCGUGCAGGAAGACGGCCCUAUGGGUUGUAAACUGCUUUUGACGGGGAAAAAAGUUCGAUACGUGUAUCGAUUUGCUAGUACCUGUUGAAUAAGCAUCGGCUAACUCCGUGCCAGCAGCCGCGGUAAUACGGAGGAUGCAAGCGUUAUCCGGAUUUAUUGGGUUUAAAGGGUGCGCAGGCGGCGAAUUAAGUCAGUGGUGAAAUCUCAUAGCUUAACUAUGGAACUGCCAUUGAUACUGGUUUGCUAGAGUACAGACGACGUUGGCGGAAUGCGACAUGUAGCGGUGAAAUGCUUAGAGAUGUCGCAGAACACCGAUUGCGAAGGCAGCUAACGAGGAUGUUACUGACGCUCAUGCACGAAAGCGUGGGGAUCAAAC
Molecule: ribosomal RNA, 420 nt
Filed under: uncultured bacterium
Lineage: Bacteria
Description: bacterial SSU rRNA
Rfam family: Bacterial small subunit ribosomal RNA
Source: RNAcentral